ANGUUUCGUAGGUGGUUCGCCUGCGAAUUUAGUCUGCUUAGCAGGCAACAUCUUUACUGUGCUAGAAAUUACAAUUGUAUUACUAGCAGCCUGCUUAGCAGGUUCACAGAUCAAAUAGAGGUGGCCCUUAGGGGUUGAGACAUGAUCGAGUUGAUGCUGAAAUAGCACUGAGAAAUUGGAACCUGCGGAAGGAUCAUUAAAGAGUCAUUAUGGGCUUACACCCUAAUACUCCACCCUUUGUUUACAUUACCUUUGUUGCUUUGGCAGGCCCGUCCUUGCGACCACUGGCUUCGGCUGGUCCGCGCCUGCCAGAGGACCUAAAACUCUUGUUAAAUCAUAUUGUCUGAGUACUAUAUAAUAGUUAAAACUUUCAACAACGGAUCUCUUGGUUCUGGCAUCGAUGAAGAACGCAGCGAAAUGCGAUAAGUAAUGUGAAUUGCAGAAUUCAGUGAAUCAUCGAAUCUUUGAACGCACAUUGCGCCCUCUGGUAUUCCGGGGGGCAUGCCUGUUCGAGCGUCAUUACAACCCUCAAGCUCUGCUUGGUAUUAGGCCUCACCCGUUAGGGCGGGCUGUAAAAUCAGUGGCGGUGCCAUUCGGCUUCAAGCGUAGUAAUUUUUCUCGCUUUGGAGUACCGGCUGUGUGCCUGCCAGCAACCCCAAUUUUUAUCAAAGGUUGACCUCGGAUCAGGUAGGGAUACCCGCUGAACUUAAGCAUAUCAAUAGGCGGAGGAAAAGAAACCAACAGGGAUUGCCUCAGUAACGGCGAGUGAAGCGGCAACAGCUCAAAUUUGAAAUCUGGCCUUCUGGUCCGAGUUGUAAUUUGUAGAGGAUGUUUCGAACGUGGUCCGGUCUAAGUUUCUUGGAACAGAACGUCAUAGAGGGUGAGAAUCCCGUAUGCGACUGGGUGCCUAAGUUCAUGUGAAACUCCUUUCGACGA
This 936-nucleotide ribosomal RNA is filed under the name uncultured fungus. Its description in RNAcentral is "eukaryotic LSU rRNA". The stretch from base 674 to 936 matches the Rfam family "Eukaryotic large subunit ribosomal RNA", at positions 1 to 263 of the family's 3401-position model. Lineage: Eukaryota; Fungi. The record is from RNAcentral.